GCAAAAUGAAACAGAAAUUAUAAAAUAUGAUUGUUGCUUUAAAUCUUUUAUAAAAAAGAAAGAAGAAAUGAAUGGAUGAAUGAAGGAAAAUGGUAAAAGUCAGUGGGAUCUUUUCAAGGAAUGUCAGGAAUCAACUUUCCUGUAGGAAGAAAAUGCAGAUGAGAAAACUGAAGUUUGGAUACUAUCAGAAUUGUUGUCAGAUUUUUUGUUUGCCC
This is a long non-coding RNA of Pan paniscus (pygmy chimpanzee), 215 nucleotides long. NCBI's taxonomy places the organism in Eukaryota, Metazoa, Chordata, Mammalia, Primates, Hominidae. The record is from Ensembl.